Molecule: ribosomal RNA, 600 nt
Filed under: uncultured ciliate
Lineage: Eukaryota; Ciliophora
Description: SSU rRNA
Rfam family: Eukaryotic small subunit ribosomal RNA
Source: RNAcentral
CGGGACUGAAAUGAUUAGAAUUUAACGACCUUUACGAGGAACAAUUGGAGGGCAAGUCUGGUGCCAGCAGCCGCGGUAAUUCCAGCUCCAAUAGCGUAUAUUAAAGUUGUUGCAGUUAAAAAGCUCGUAGUUGGAUUUCUGGCAGAGCGUCCUCCGUCCGACAGUUCGUUUGGCUCGGAGCGCUCUACCAUCCUUCUGUUAACCUUUACGGAAUUUACUUUCUGCACUGGGGCUCAGAUAUUUUACCUUGAGAAAAUUAGAGUGUUUCAGGCAGGCUUUCGCCGGAAUACAUUAGCAUGGAAUAAUGGAAAAGGACUUCAACCUCUUCUGUUGGUCUGGGAGGCUGUAGUAAUGAUUAAUAGGGAUAGUUGGGGGCAUUAGUACUUGACUGUCAGAGGUGAAAUUCUCCGAUUUGUUAAAGACUAACUUAUGCGAAAGCAUUUGCCAAGGAUGUUUUCAUUAAUCAAGAACGAAAGUUAGGGGAUCAAAGACGAUCAGAUACCGUCCUAGUCUUAACCAUAAACUAUGCCGACUCGGGAUCGGAGGCACGCAAAAUCGGUCUUCGGCACCGUAUGAGAAAUCAAAGUCUUUGGGUUCUGG